CACAGCAGAAUUGAGCAGAAAAUACAGAGUUUGCACGUAGCCCUCCCUACCUACACAUACAUACUCCCCUCCCCUCAACAUCCCCCAUCAGUGUGGCAUAUUUGGCGCAAUCAGUGAACCAACGUGGGCACAUUAUUAUCAACCAAAGUCCAUAGUUUACAUUAGGGUUCACUCUUGAUGUUGAACAUCCUGUGGGUUUUGACAAAUGCAUGAUGACAAGUAGCCACCACUAUUGUCUCAGACAGAAUAUUUUCAUU
Non-coding RNA from Vicugna pacos (alpaca), 257 nucleotides. The record is from RefSeq and is a predicted model, not a curated record. NCBI's taxonomy places the organism in Eukaryota, Metazoa, Chordata, Mammalia, Artiodactyla, Camelidae.